UACGAAGGGGGCUAGCGUUGCUCGGAAUCACUGGGCGUAAAGCGCACGUAGGCGGCUUCUUAAGUCAGGGGUGAAAUCCUGGAGCUCAACUCCAGAACUGCCUUUGAUACUGAGGAUCUUGAGUUCGGGAGAGGUGAGUGGAACUGCGAGUGUAGAGGUGAAAUUCGUAGAUAUUCGCAAGAGCACCAGUGGCGAAGGCGGCUCACUGGCCCGAUACUGACGCUGAGGCACGAAAGCGUGGGGAGCAAACAGG
Molecule: ribosomal RNA, 253 nt
Filed under: uncultured bacterium
Lineage: Bacteria
Description: partial 16S ribosomal RNA
Rfam family: Bacterial small subunit ribosomal RNA
Source: RNAcentral